AUGACUAGGGAUAACCUUAGGAAGAGAUACAUCAUCAAACCCCUUGAUUGUGUUUACUGCUUGGAACAAGAGUCUUGUUCUCACCUAUUUUUUGAAUGUAUAUUUGCUAAACAUCUCUGGGCCCACAUUGAGGAAUAUUUCUCUAGUCAGAUUGACUCAUCCUUCGAAUCUGUCGCCAGAUUCUGGAUUGCUACCGAAAAGUGCUCAGUUUUAAACACUGUUAGCUCAGCUGUCCUUUGGUGCCUCUAGAAAUAUAGAAAUACUAUGAUUUUCAGUAACACCUCCUGGAUUUCUAUUUCGCAGGUCUUGAGGUUGAUCAAGAACAUGGUGAGGAACUGGGUGAUUCUCUCCUCCGGAUCAGACAAGGACAAGUUGAUGAGCUUCAUGGAAACCCUAACAAGAUCCCCCAAAAACCGUUGGCGAUCACCUGUGGCUGAACAAAGCUCGACCUGCUCUGGGGCUGGACCCGUGGGCUCAUCUCAAGAUCUCUGA
RNAcentral lists this ribosomal RNA (492 nucleotides) under Triticum aestivum (bread wheat). Its description in RNAcentral is "partial small subunit ribosomal RNA". The record is from RNAcentral. Lineage: Eukaryota; Viridiplantae; Streptophyta; Magnoliopsida; Poales; Poaceae.